Molecule: ribosomal RNA, 700 nt
Filed under: uncultured Alphaproteobacteria bacterium
Lineage: Bacteria; Pseudomonadati; Pseudomonadota; Alphaproteobacteria
Description: bacterial SSU rRNA
Rfam family: Bacterial small subunit ribosomal RNA
Source: RNAcentral
AGCGAACGCUGGCGGCAGGCCUAAUACAUGCAAGUCGAGCGCACCUUCGGGUGAGCGGCGGACGGGUGAGUAACGCGUGGGAACGUGCCCUUUGGUUCGGAACAACACAGGGAAACUUGUGCUAAUACCGAAUGUGCCCUUCGGGGGAAAGAUUUAUCGCCAUUGGAGCGGCCCGCGUUGGAUUAGCUAGUUGGUGGGGUAAAGGCCCACCAAGGCGACGAUCCAUAGCUGGUCUGAGAGGAUGAUCAGCCACACUGGGACUGAGACACGGCCCAGACUCCUACGGGAGGCAGCAGUAGGGAAUCUUGCGCAAUGGGCGAAAGCCUGACGCAGCCAUGCCGCGUGAAUGAUGAAGGUCUUAGGAUUGUAAAAUUCUUUCACCGGGGAAGAUAAUGACGGUACCCGGAGAAGAAGCCCCGGCUAACUUCGUGCCAGCAGCCGCGGUAAUACGAAGGGGGCUAGCGUUGCUCGGAAUUACUGGGCGUAAAGGGCGCGUAGGCGGACAGUUUAGUCAGAGGUGAAAGCCCAGGGCUCAACCUUGGAACUGCCUUUGAUACUGGCUGUCUUGAGUUCGGGAGAGGUGAGUGGAAUGCCGAGUGUAGAGGUGAAAUUCGUAGAUAUUCGGCGGAACACCAGUGGCGAAGGCGACUCACUGGCCCGAUACUGACGCUGAGGCGCGAAAGCGUGGGGAGCAAACAGG